This 458-nucleotide ribosomal RNA is filed under the name uncultured bacterium. RNAcentral describes it as "bacterial SSU rRNA". It matches the Rfam family "Bacterial small subunit ribosomal RNA", at positions 29 to 507 of the family's 1533-position model. The record is from RNAcentral.
AGCGAACGCUGGCGGCAGGCCUAACACAUGCAAGUCGAGCGCCGUAGCAAUACGGAGCGGCAGACGGGAGAGUAACACGUGGGAACGUACCCUUUGGUUCGGAACAACCCAGGGAAACUUGGGCUAAUACCGGAUAAGCCCUUACGGGGAAAGAUUUAUCGCCGAAGGAUCGGCCCGCGUCUGAUUAGCUAGUUGGUGGGGUAACGGCCCACCAAGGCGACGAUCAGUAGCUGGUCUGAGAGGAUGAUCAGCCUCACUGGGACUGAGACACGGCCCAGACUCCUACGGGAGGCAGCAGUGGGGAACCUUGCGCAAUGCGCGAAAGCGUGACGCAGCAACACCGCGUGAGGGAAGACGGCCUUAGGGUUGUAAACCUCUUUCAGAUGGGACGAAGGUGAUGCGGUGAAUAGCCGAUGUCAUUGACGGUACCGUCAGAAGAAGCUCCGGCUAACUACGUG